This 492-nucleotide ribosomal RNA is filed under the name uncultured bacterium. Its description in RNAcentral is "partial 16S ribosomal RNA". It matches the Rfam family "Bacterial small subunit ribosomal RNA", at positions 29 to 507 of the family's 1533-position model. The record is from RNAcentral.
AGUGAACGCUGGCGGUAGGCCUAACACAUGCAAGUCGAACGGCAGCACAGUAAGAGCUUGCUCUUACGGGUGGCGAGUGGCGGACGGGUGAGGAAUACAUCGGAAUCUACUUUUUCGUGGGGGAUAACGUAGGGAAACUUACGCUAAUACCGCAUACGACCUACGGGUGAAAGCAGGGGAUCUUCGGACCUUGCGCGAUUGAAUGAGCCGAUGUCGGAUUAGCUAGUUGGCGGGGUAAAGGCCCACCAAGGCGACGAUCCGUAGCUGGUCUGAGAGGAUGAGCAGCCACACUGGAACUGAGACACGGCCCAGACUCCUACGGGAGGCAGCAGUGGGGAAUAGUGGACAAUGGGCGCAAGCCUGAUCCAGCCAUACCGCGUGGGUGAAGAAGGCCUUCGGGUUGUAAAGCCCUUUUGUUGGGAAAGAAAAGCAGCAGGUUAAUACCCCGCUGUUCUGACGGUACCCAAAGAAUAAGCACCGGCUAACUUCGUG